AUCUGUAAUAAGUAGGAUUUAUAUUUGUAAAUUAUUGUAUGAUUAUAAUUUUGUAAAUGUAUGAGCUAAAAGUUUUCUUCUUGGAUUUAUACAUGAAAUCUUUGACUGUAAACCUGUGAUCAACCAUUGAUGAUUUGUUGACAGUGCACCCUGUGGCUUCCCAACCAGGAGCUAUAUGUGUCAAGUACCGCUUUUUCACCGGCCCUUUCUGGAUGUUGUUGAUGUCCGUUAUGGUCUUAUCUUAACCAAUCACAAGAGGGCUCCUCCAUCCACUGCCGGGGGAGAGUAGCACCUUGGUGCCCGCCCCAGGGGCAUUUUAUGCCCUAGAGGCUCUCCCAUACCCGGCAGUGGUGACUCUAUCUCCCUUUUAACUGUCAGAUUUUCUUAUCUUUCAGCUCUGAGACAUCUAGGCACAGUGAAUAUCUUUGCCCUAUCCUCAGGAAUUUACCCUCACUCCACUAAACGUUCCUCCAAUGGUUCCAUUUUUGCCCUGUAUUUGUUUUUUGCUUUUGGAUUCUCUUGUUUCCCCGGGUCCCCUGUUUAAUGAUGCCCCGAAACUGCAAUUUUAUUGCUGCUGUCUAAAUCUAUGGACUGUUAGGAUCUCUGGAGCGGGUGGUGAUUUCCGCCCCUUCUGUGCGGACACUUCCUUGUUUCUCCCUGUCUGGUCGUUGGGCGCAUUUCGUUCGCGUCGCUGUGACGCGUACAGUGGGUGGCACCACUGUGUGUGUUGCGUUCGCGUUCGGUCGUCUGACGUCUCAUGCACCUGAUUGGGUGCGCGGUCGUCACAUGACCCUUUGGUAUUCUGGGAUCACGCUAGACGCCGUGAGUCAUGUGCUGUGUGACGCGCAGGAGGCGCGUCACCGGCGGCAUGUCCACGGUGUCGUGCCCUGAUUGAUCAGAGCUCGGCCACCUGACGCUGACGUCAGUAGUGGGCGCGCUGUUUGCACGUCAAACAUGGGGAAUUUGGAGGAUAGGAAUCACUUCAGCUGAUCCCCAAAUGUCUAUUUACUGCUCCACCUACAACCAAUUAUUCCAUUCAAGGAACAGCUGUUACACCGCCGGAGUGAAUGGAUCAUCCACACCUGAGGUCCAUCAUCCUCAAAGUAAGUAUAAAGGGUAGUCAGGGGGGGUUUCCCUGUCAGCAUUCACUUUCCUCCCCUCACCUGUUGGAGCUGGAGGUUAUUUUGUCUUCUGGUCAAGUUUGCUUUCCUUUCUUUGACUGGAAUGGCUGUUCACCUUUGAGCUGAUGCAUUGGGAGUGCCAUUAUACUUUUUAUUUGUCCUAUGACUGCUGACUCCUUUGUGGAGACUUAUGUCACUCCACCCCCCCAUGGUUAUGGAGUCCUCUGGAUUGGGGGAUCGUUAUGGACAUUAAGUACACCAUCUGGUUUGGUUGCCCUGAUUGCGGCUUACACACAAGCUCCAUGGGGAUGAUCUAGGCGCUCUGUGUCUGGAAAGGGGAAAAACUCUUGCUGCUUUCUAUUCCCUGA
Long non-coding RNA from Rana temporaria (common frog), 1489 nucleotides. RefSeq lists it as uncharacterized. The record is from RefSeq and is a predicted model, not a curated record. The transcript is spliced from 3 exons. Lineage: Eukaryota; Metazoa; Chordata; Amphibia; Anura; Ranidae.